UACGUAGGGCGCAAGCGUUGUCCGGAAUUAUUGGGCGUAAAGAGCUUGUAGGUGGCUUGUCACGUCGGGUGUGAAAGCUUGGGGCUUAACUCCAGGUCUGCAUUCGAUACGGGCUGGCUAGAGGUAGGUAGGGGAGAACGGAAUUCCUGGUGUAGCGGUGAAAUGCGCAGAUAUCAGGAGGAACACCGGUGGCGAAGGCGGUUCUCUGGGCCUUACCUGACGCUGAGGAGCGAAAGCGUGGGGAGCGAACAGG
Molecule: ribosomal RNA, 253 nt
Filed under: uncultured bacterium
Lineage: Bacteria
Description: partial 16S ribosomal RNA
Rfam family: Bacterial small subunit ribosomal RNA
Source: RNAcentral